UACAGAGGUCCCAAGCGUUGUUCGGAUUCAUUGGGCGUAAAGGGUGCGUAGGCGGCGCGGUAAGUCGGGUGUGAAAUCUUGGAGCUUAACUCCAAAACUGCAUUCGAUACUGCCGUGCUUGAGGACUGGAGAGGAGACUGGAAUUUACGGUGUAGCGGUGAAAUGCGUAGAUAUCGUAAGGAAGACCAGUGGCGAAGGCGGGUCUCUGGACAGUUCCUGACGCUGAGGCACGAAGGCCAGGGGAGCAAACGGG
RNAcentral lists this ribosomal RNA (253 nucleotides) under uncultured bacterium. RNAcentral's name for it is "partial 16S ribosomal RNA". It matches the Rfam family "Bacterial small subunit ribosomal RNA", at positions 524 to 776 of the family's 1533-position model. The record is from RNAcentral.